AAUGCCAGCUUGGACAGGUCCCCAGACAGCCGACCCGGCGGUCCAAGAGUAUGCCAAUGAGGUGAAGGACGUUGUGCAGAAGAGGAUCCAGGUUCCAAUGAUAAAAUAUACUGCGAUCCUCUACCGGAAGCAAGAACAGACUAUCAUGACGGGGAAGAUGUUUCUGAUCAAGGCGGACAUCGGAAUCCCCGCCAACUUCCUCCACCUGGAAGUGUUCCUGCCCUGGGGCUCCCCGU
Molecule: long non-coding RNA, 236 nt
Organism: Hypanus sabinus (Atlantic stingray)
Lineage: Eukaryota; Metazoa; Chordata; Chondrichthyes; Myliobatiformes; Dasyatidae
Exons: 3
Source: RefSeq, a predicted model, not a curated record